Long non-coding RNA from Hypanus sabinus (Atlantic stingray), 1734 nucleotides. RefSeq lists it as uncharacterized. The record is from RefSeq and is a predicted model, not a curated record. The transcript has 3 exons. NCBI's taxonomy places the organism in Eukaryota, Metazoa, Chordata, Chondrichthyes, Myliobatiformes, Dasyatidae.
GUUUGGGUCAGUCAGUGUUUAGGUGUGGGUUUGUGUCAGUCAGUGGUUAGUUGUGGUGUGGGUCAGUCAGUGUUUAGGUAUGGAUGUGUGUCAGUCAGUGAUUAGGUGUGGGUUUGGUUCAGUCAGUGGUUAGUUGUGGUGUGGGUCAGUGAGUGUUUCGGUGUGGGUUUUUGUCAGUCAGUGGUUAGGUGUAGUGAGGGUCAGUCAGUGUUCAGGUGUGGUUUGGGUCAGUCAGUGAUUAGGUGUGGGUUUUUGUCAGUCAGAGGUUAGGUGUAGUGAGGGUCAGUCAGUGUUCAGGUGUGGUUUGGGUCAGUCAGUGUUUAGGUGUGGGUUUGUGUCAGUCAGAGGUUAGGUGUAGUGAGGGUCAGUCAGUGUUCAGGUGUGGUUUGGGUCAGUCAGUGUUUAGGUGUGGGUUUGGGUCAGUCAGUGUUCAGGUGUGGGAUUGGGUCAGUCACUGGUUAGGUGUGGGUGUGUGUCAGUCAGUGUUUAGGUGUGGUGUGGGUCAGUCAGUUUUUAGGUGUGGUGUUAGUCAGUCAGUGUUUAGGUGUGGGUUUGGGUCAGUCAGUGGUUAGGUGUGGGUGUGUGUCACUGUUUAGGUGUGGGUUUUGGUCAGUCAGUGGUUAGGUGUGGGUUUGGGUCAGUCAGUGUUUAGGUGUGGUGUUGGUCAGUCAGUGUUUAGGUGUGGGUUUGGGUCAGUCAGUGUUCAGGUGUGGGAUUGGGUCAGUCAGUGGUUAGGUGUGGGUGUGUGUCAGUCAGUGUUUAGGUGUGGUGUGAUUCAGUCAGUGUUUAGGUGUGGGUUUGGGUCAGGCAGUGGUUAGGUGUGGGUGUGUGUCAGUGUUUAUGUGUGGGUUUGGGUCAGUCCGUGGUUAGGUGUGGGUUUGGGUUAGUCAGUGUUUAGGUGUGGGUUUGGGUCAGUCAGUGUUUAGGUGUGGGUUUUGGUCAGUCAGUGGUUAGGUGUGGGUUUGGGUCAGUCAGUGGUUAGGUGUGGGUUUGGAUCAGUCAGUGGUUAGGUGUGGGUUUGGGUCAGUUAGUGUUUAGGUGUGUGUUUGCGUCAGUCAGUGUUUACGUGUGGGUUUGGGUCAGUCAGUGGUUAGGUGUGGGUUUGGGUCAGUUAGUGGUUAGGUGUGGGAUUCGGUCAGUCAGUGUUUAGGUGUGGUGUGGGUCAGUCAGUGGUUAGGUGUGGGUUUGGGUCAGUCAAUGUUUACGUGUGGGUUUGGGUCAGUCAGUGGUUAGGUGUGGGUUUGGGUCAGUCAGUGUUUAGGUGUGGGUGUGGGUCAGUCAGUGUUUAGGUGUGGGUUUGGAUCAGUCAGUGUUUAGGUGUGGGUGUGGGUUAGUCAGUGUUUAGGUGUGGGUUUGGAUCAGUCAGUGGUUAGGUGUGGGUUUGGAUCAGUCAGUGUUUAGGUGUGAUGUGGGUCAGUCAGUGUUUAGGUGUGGUGUGUGUCAGUCAGUGGUUAGGUGUGGGUUUGGAUCAGUCAGUAUUUAGGUGUGAUGUGGGUCAGUCAGUGUUUAGGUGUGGUGUGUGUCAGUCAGUGGUUAGGUGUGGGUGUGGGUCAGUCAGUGGUUUGGUGUGGGUGUGUGUCAGUCAGUGUUUAGGUGUGGGUGUGUGUCUGACACUGUUUAGGUGUGGGAUUGUGUCAGUCAGUGUUUAGUUAUCGGUGUGUGUCAGACACUGUUUAGGUGUGGGAUUGUGUCAGUCAGUGUUUAGGUGUGUGGGUCAGUCAGUGGUUAGGUGUA